Molecule: long non-coding RNA, 206 nt
Filed under: Phoenix dactylifera (date palm)
Lineage: Eukaryota; Viridiplantae; Streptophyta; Magnoliopsida; Arecales; Arecaceae
Description: long non-coding RNA (PDAC_LNC004808)
Source: RNAcentral
GCGAACUGGUUUAAGGACUCAUAGACAAAUCCUCCUUUAUCUCUUAAAAGAGUCCUAAGGACUUCAUCACAUCAUAAGAGUUCAAAAAGAUGUACAGAAUAUAUGCAAUAAAUGAUGCCAAAUAACUUUUUAUUAAUUCAUUAAUUCAUAUACAAUUCAAUCAUCAACAGGCCGACGAUUGACUUUUAGGACACAAUUCCUAACAC